CAUGUAGGCGGUUUCGUAAGCCUGGUGUGAAAUCCUGCAGCUUAACUGUAGAAUUGCAUUGGGUACUGCGAGACUUGAAUCACGGAGGGGAAACUAGAAUUCCAGGUGUAGGGGUGGAAUCUGUAGAUAUCUGGAAGAAUACCGGUGGCGAAGGCGGGUUUCUAGCCGAUGAUUGACGCUGAGGUGCGAAAGUGCGGGGAGCAAACA
RNAcentral lists this ribosomal RNA (207 nucleotides) under uncultured Treponema sp. RNAcentral describes it as "partial 16S ribosomal RNA". It matches the Rfam family "Bacterial small subunit ribosomal RNA", at positions 568 to 774 of the family's 1533-position model. Lineage: Bacteria; Pseudomonadati; Spirochaetota; Spirochaetia; Treponematales; Treponemataceae. The record is from RNAcentral.